UUAGUAAACAAAUAGAUUCGGUU
Molecule: non-coding RNA, 23 nt
Filed under: Drosophila melanogaster (fruit fly)
Lineage: Eukaryota; Metazoa; Arthropoda; Insecta; Diptera; Drosophilidae
Source: RNAcentral